CCUACGGGUGGCUGCAGUGGGGAAUAUUGGACAAUGGGGGGAACCCUGAUCCAGCCAUGCCGCGUGUGUGAAGAAGGCCCUCGGGUUGUAAAGCACUUUCAGUGAGGAAGAACGCCUGGUGGUUAAUACCCAUCAGGAAAGACAUCACUCACAGAAGAAGCACCGGCUAACUCCGUGCCAGCAGCCGCGGUAAUACGGAGGGGGCGAGCGUUAAUCGGAAUUACUGGGCGUAAAGCGCGCGUAGGUGGCUUGAUAAGCCGGUUGUGAAAGCCCCGGGCUCAACCUGGGAACGGCAUCCGGAACUGUCAAGCUAGGGUGCAGGAGAGGAAGGUAGAAUUCCCGGGGUAGCGGGGAAAUGGGUAGAGUUCGGGAGGAAUACAAGUGGCGAAGGCGGCCUUCUGGACUGACACUGACACUGAGGUGCGAAAGCGUGGGUAGCAAACAGGAUUAGAUACCUGGUAGUC
RNAcentral lists this ribosomal RNA (464 nucleotides) under Vreelandella stevensii. Its description in RNAcentral is "partial 16S ribosomal RNA". It matches the Rfam family "Bacterial small subunit ribosomal RNA", at positions 338 to 795 of the family's 1533-position model. Lineage: Bacteria; Pseudomonadati; Pseudomonadota; Gammaproteobacteria; Oceanospirillales; Halomonadaceae. The record is from RNAcentral.